This is a non-coding RNA of Pelobates cultripes (western spadefoot toad), 232 nucleotides long. NCBI's taxonomy places the organism in Eukaryota, Metazoa, Chordata, Amphibia, Anura, Pelobatidae. The record is from the annotation of a GenBank genome assembly.
CUUUUUCCAUGCCAAAGAGAAACUGGUGAGAGCUAGCAGAAUUUCCGACAUGCCAGACCUCUAUGGCUAGAUAAAGAUAUUUGCAGACCUGUCUGCAGCAACGUUACAAUUCCGGAAGAAUAUGACACCCAUUACAUCCAUGCUGCAGGAUCAAAACAUCGCCUACAGAUGGGGAUACCCUGCUAAGCUACUGGUCCAUCACAGAGAAGCCAUGCACGCCAUCACAUCCUUG